RNAcentral lists this ribosomal RNA (495 nucleotides) under uncultured bacterium. RNAcentral describes it as "partial 16S ribosomal RNA". It matches the Rfam family "Bacterial small subunit ribosomal RNA", at positions 28 to 507 of the family's 1533-position model. The record is from RNAcentral.
GACGAACGCUGGCGGCGUGCCUAAUACAUGCAAGUAGAACGCUGAAGGAGGAGCUUGCUCUUCUGGAUGAGUUGCGAACGGGUGAGUAACGCGUAGGUAACCUGCCUGGUAGCGGGGGAUAACUAUUGGAAACGAUAGCUAAUACCGCAUAACAGUAGAUGUUGCAUGACAUUUACUUAAAAGGUGCAAUUGCAUCACUACCAGAUGGACCUGCGUUGUAUUAGCUAGUUGGUGGGGUAACGGCUCAUCAAGGCGACGAUACAUAGCCGACCUGAGAGGGUGAACGGGCAAACUGGGAAUGGGAAAAGGGCCAGAAUUCUACGGGAGGGAGCAGUAGGGAAACCUCGGCAAUGGACGGAAGUCUGAACGAGCAAAGCCGCGUGAGUGAAGAAGGUUUUCGGAUCGUAAAGCUCUGUUGUAAGAGAAGAACGAGUGUGAGAGUGGAAAGUUCACACUGUGACGGUAUCUUACCAGAAAGGGACGGCUAACUACGUG